This 1246-nucleotide long non-coding RNA is filed under the name Phascolarctos cinereus (koala). RNAcentral's name for it is "lncRNA (ENSPCIG00000034461.1)". Lineage: Eukaryota; Metazoa; Chordata; Mammalia; Diprotodontia; Phascolarctidae. The record is from RNAcentral.
CCCAACCUGGCACAGAGUAGGCGCCUAGGCAGUGUGGAUGGAUCGACGGCUUGUUUCCUUCCCUUCCUGAGCACAGGGCAGAGACCCGAGCUCCCGAGGACGGCCACGCCACGCCGGCUUUGGGGAGCCCCCCCCAACUUCUCCGAAUCAACUUGGGAGGAAAGAGGGGGCCUCGAGGGAAGGGGGAAGAGAGGCCUGGGCGGCUGGGCCAGAGCCGGGCCAAGAGGCGGGGGGGCGGGGGGGGAGACGACAGUACAAUGUCCAACGCACCCCCUCAGGAUAUUAGGGGUCUCAGGAGCCACACGGACCCCUGGAGGGCUGGGGCCGGGGGGGGGGGGAAACUGGCUUGGGUCACGUGGGGCCCAGCGCGGGACGUGGAGGAAGGAGGUCGCGAGUCUCGGACCAGAACGACAAGCACCCCAUUCCCAGAAUUCCCCGAGCCGGGCGACCUCUCAUAUCCGUGCCUCCCGCUGUAUUGUGGGAAAGGUAGUUCCGGGGUUUGGUCUGCGCAAGCCCAGCUGGGGUGGGCGAGACGCGUGUCCGAAGCCGUGCGCAUGCGUGCUAUCCGGAUUGCCCAGGUCACUACCUGCGCGUGCCAGCGUGGGCUCCUGCACCAGAAGGGGUGACCCUCCCAUCUGCCUGGCCGCACUCAGCAGGAUGGCCUUCGCCCCAGCUUGGCCACCUGGGCGGAGAGGACAGCACGGACCCCGGGCACCAGAGCAGGGACGACCACGGAGGAUGUCUGAGGACCCAGACUCUGCCCUCCCCCGAGAGAUGAGCGGAGGUCGGCACAAGGAGGGAGCGAUCUCUGGGCUCCCGGCAGCCCCCGGCUUGGUGAGUGGACGGUCCUCGGUAGAGUGUGGAUCCCCCUGCGGUCCUCGAGCCCCUGCCCCCAAGUGGGAUACUUGCAGAGUCCACCCAUCCCCGCAGCCAGGAGGGUGCUUGGGAGUCAGCCAGCGGAGGGGGAGACCGAAACCCCCAAUGACAGAUCAAGACCAGAACCUGGGUCUCCCGGUCUGGAACCCAGACUUUAUCUGUUGCCUGCUCUGACCUCAGGAGUCUUCCUUCCCUCCUUCACUCCCUCUCUCCCUCCUUGAUUUCUUCCUUCCUUCCCUCUUUCCUUCUUCCCUCCCUCUCUUCCUCCUUCUCUUUCUCCUUCCUUCCUUCCCUCUCUCUCCGUUCUUCCUCCCUCCCUCUCCCCCCCUUCCUCGCUUCCUCCUUCCUCCCUCUCUCCUUCUCUCUCUCC